RNAcentral lists this ribosomal RNA (254 nucleotides) under uncultured bacterium. RNAcentral's name for it is "partial 16S ribosomal RNA". It matches the Rfam family "Bacterial small subunit ribosomal RNA", at positions 524 to 776 of the family's 1533-position model. The record is from RNAcentral.
UACGUAGGGGGCGAGCGUUGUCCGAAGUUACUGGGCGUAAAGCGCGCGUAGGCGGUUUCUUAAGUCUGGGGUGAAAGGUUCAGCGCUCAACGCGAACAGUGCCUUGGAUACUGGGAGACUUGAGUCUGGGAGGGGGCAGUGGAAUUCCUGGUGUAGCGGUGAAAUGCGUAGAUAUUGGGAGGAACACCGGUGGCGAAGGCGGCCCUCUGGACCGGUACUGACGCUGAUGCGCGAAAGCGUGGGGAGCAAACGGG